CAGGGUACUCGAGUGGCGAACGGGUGAGUAACACGUGGGUGAUCUGCCCUGCACUUCGGGAUAAGCCUGGGAAACUGGGUCUAAUACCGGAUAGGAGCCAUUUUUAGUGUGAUGGUUGGAAAGUUUUUUCGGUGUAGGAUGAGCUCGCGGCCUAUCAGCUUGUUGGUGGGGUAAUGGCCUACCAAGGCGGCGACGGGUAGCCGGCCUGAGAGGGUGGACGGCCACAUUGGGACUGAGAUACGGCCCAG
Molecule: ribosomal RNA, 248 nt
Filed under: uncultured Actinomycetales bacterium
Lineage: Bacteria; Bacillati; Actinomycetota; Actinomycetes; Actinomycetales
Description: partial 16S ribosomal RNA
Rfam family: Bacterial small subunit ribosomal RNA
Source: RNAcentral